RNAcentral lists this ribosomal RNA (253 nucleotides) under uncultured bacterium. Its description in RNAcentral is "partial 16S ribosomal RNA". It matches the Rfam family "Bacterial small subunit ribosomal RNA", at positions 524 to 776 of the family's 1533-position model. The record is from RNAcentral.
UACGUAGGGGGCGAGCGUUGUCCGGAAUCAUUGGGCGUAAAGCGCGUGUAGGCGGCCCGGUAAGUCCGCUGUGAAAGUCCAGGGCUCAACCCUGGGAUGCCGGUGGAUACUGUCGGGCUCGAGUCCGGAAGAGGCGAGUGGAAUUCCUGGUGUAGCGGUGAAAUGCGCAGAUAUCAGGAGGAACACCAAUGGCGAAGGCAGCUCGCUGGGACGUUACUGACACUGAGGCGCGAAAGCGUGGGGAGCGAACAGG